CCUACGGGUGGCAGCAGUGUGGAAUAUUGCACAAUGGGGGAAACCCUGAUGCAGCGACGCAGCGUGAGUAAAGAAGUAUUUCGGUAUGUAAAGCUCUAUCAGCAGGGAAGAGAAUGCCGGUACCUGAGUAAGAAGCCACGGCUAACUAUGUGCCAGCAGCCGCGGUAAUACGUGGGGGGCAAGCGUUAUCCGGAUUAACUGGGUGUAAAGGGAGCGUAGACGGCGAAGAAAGUCUGAAGUGAAAGCCCGCGGCUCAACCGCGGAACUGCUUUGGAAACUUUUUUGCUGGAGUACCGGAGAGGUAAGCGGAAUUCCUAGUGUAGCGGUGAAAUGCGUAGAUAUUAGGAGGAACACCAGUGGCGAAGGCGGCUUACUGAACGGUAACUGACGUUGAGGCUCGAAAGCGUGGGGAGCAAACAGGAUUAGAUACCCGGGUAGUC
Molecule: ribosomal RNA, 440 nt
Filed under: uncultured bacterium
Lineage: Bacteria
Description: partial 16S ribosomal RNA
Rfam family: Bacterial small subunit ribosomal RNA
Source: RNAcentral